RNAcentral lists this small nuclear RNA (315 nucleotides) under Sorex araneus (European shrew). RNAcentral describes it as "7SK RNA (ENSSARG00000017939.1)". It matches the Rfam family "7SK RNA". From Rfam's summary of the family: 7SK was discovered as an abundant small nuclear RNA in the mid-70s but a possible function has only recently been suggested. The record is from RNAcentral. Lineage: Eukaryota; Metazoa; Chordata; Mammalia; Eulipotyphla; Soricidae.
GGAUGUGAGGGCAAUCUGGCUGUGACGUCUGUCAUCCCAUUGAUCGCCAGGGUUGAUUCGACUGAUCUCGUUGGCUAGGUGGGUGUUCCCUUCCUCCCUCACCGCUCCAUGUGCGUCCCUCCCGAAGCACUCAAGUCAAAGAGGACGGCCUUCCCCAAAUAGAGACUGACUGGUCUUCGGUGGAGGGUAUACGAGUAGCUGCACUCCCCUGCUAGAACCUCCAAAGAAUCAGUGCCCUACAAUAGAUAAUUAGCUUUAGGCCUUUAAGUGCCAUGAUCCAUUUCAUUGCUUGACACUUUCUCAAAUCAAAUCUUG